ACCAUGAAGAACCUUUGAGCUUAGGACCCCCAGUGGGAUGCUGGCAGCAAUAUUGCUGUUGGGCUGAGAGGGAAAUGUAAAAAUCUUUCACGAGCUUCCUGUUAACGAUGACUUUUCUGUAGGUUAGGGUUUCAACUCUGUGGCUGCAGCACCUGUCUGGAGCCUGUGGUGUGGUGGAUGAGGCUGUCCUGGUGUGUCCUGACCCGAGCUCACGUUCCCUCCAAACUUUGGCUCUGGAGACGGAAUGGGAGUUGAGACAGAUCCCACUGCAGUCUCUCGACUUAGAAUUUGGAAGUGGAUUCCAACCCCGGGUCCUGCCUACCCAGCCCAACCCAGUGGACGCUUCCCGGGCCCAGUUCUUCCUGCACUUGUCCCCAAGCCACUAUGCUCUGCUGCAGUACCAUUAUGGAACCCUGAGUUUGCUUAAAAACUUCCCACAGGUAACUGCAGGCAACAUGGUUUGCUAGGAUUCAGGAGAUCUCUCCAAGACAUGGAUGCUAGAAGGCAGUGCUUUUGAAUCUGGAAACGUUUGCUCUUAGGCCCAAGAUUGAUGACACCUUCCCAUAAGUGGUUUGAGAGGGGGUAGGUA
Molecule: small RNA, 589 nt
Filed under: Pan troglodytes (chimpanzee)
Lineage: Eukaryota; Metazoa; Chordata; Mammalia; Primates; Hominidae
Description: retained intron
Source: RNAcentral